Molecule: long non-coding RNA, 1457 nt
Organism: Homo sapiens (human)
Lineage: Eukaryota; Metazoa; Chordata; Mammalia; Primates; Hominidae
Product: long intergenic non-protein coding RNA 354
Source: Ensembl
GUGCCGCUGUUUUCAAUGCGCUAACGAGGCACGUUAUUCUUAGCCGCGUCCGGGAGGGGAUCACAUUCCUGCGCAGUUGCGCUGCUGGCGGAAGUGACUUGUUUUCUAACGACCCUCGUGACAGCCAGAGAAUGUCCGUUUCUCGGAGCGCAGCACAGCCUGUCCCAUCGAGAAGCCUCGGGUGGACAUGGACUCCAUGGAAGCCUGAGCUGCCAGGGGCUUCCCUGGGGCAGCACUGCUUCGCGUAGGCUCACGAGAAACUUCCAGGGUUCCUGGGUAAGGAAGACACAGCAAGAGCUGGCCUCUGCCGCAUCUGCCUUUGUCACCAGACGCCCAUCUUUAGGGCACCUCUCUCUCCGCUGCUUGAGUUUUAGGGUCUUGCCAUAAAACUUCAUUAAGGCCUCCCAGGCGAGGCUCAAAGCACCCUGCCCCGCGUAGGAAAAGGUUCAGAGCACAUAGAGAAAAGAGCAAGGUUGCACCCCAAAAGAAUGACAGGCAGGGAGACAAAUGCUGGCUCAGCCAGCCUGACUCCAUUCCCUGGGGGGCCGAGAGGGAUGUACGAUGGGUCUUGUGAGGGUGGAGGGUGCCUGCCUCGCCCGAGGGAUGCUGUGCCCAUGCCCCUGCUGCCAGUUCACCCAAAGCAGUUGACGUUUUUAAACGAGCACAAAGUCUCUGCUCUUCAGAGUGUGACGGGCUGCCCCUGUCUGCAAAAGCUGUCCCCGAAUAGGCUUUCUCUGAGCUUGUUACCGUGGAGGGCUGGGCCCGGUUUCUAAUCGCCCCCUUCACCGGGCUGCCUGCCGCUGGCUGCGGAAAGUGUGGGUUUGGCUGCAUGAUGGCCUCGUAAUGGCUGUGGUGACGCCCUCUGCGUCUUCUCCCAGCGCCAGCCUUUCAACAGAGCAGCACAUUAUGCCUGGAUAAGACUCAAAGAGCAGCUUAAUAUCAGGUUCUCUGGGGCUGUAAUCAUCGGUUCAGGAUGGAGCAGACACAGCCGCAGCAAGGCCUCUGUGCAGCCCCCGGUUUAAAACACAUCAACGCAUCCGUGGGCACUUUUGUGAGUUAAAGCUCAACUUACACAUCUGCCUGUAUCCAUAGGAAAUGAAUGAAAAUAAACAAACAAAUUCCUUGCAUUCAACGCAGCGUAAGAAAAAUCACAUCCUGUUCCCCAGUAGCUGAGGAAAGCCGGCUCACGAGAGUAUACAGGGAGAAGAGGCCAGCAUUGUGUGGCUGCCAGCAAAGCUCACUUGUAUGUCAAAUGCAGCGCUUUUCUUAGCCCAUUAUGUAUUUUUUUUUUCUUGAACACUCCUGUGUCUACUGGGAUCUCCUGUUUUUAUUGUUUUGGGAUGAGAUUUUAAAAACACCAUUUAAUGUAGCCUGUGUGCUCUUGUUCAUUAAACCAAAAAGAAACCCUGGAUCACGGCACAGGAGACUCUCCUCCCCGUUCUCUAGGGAUGCGCCCU